GCCCAAAGGGCUGCCCUGUUUCUUGGUGCGGCGCUGUAGCUCUAGCCUCUAGGGUUCGCCUCCAGAUUAGCUGAAUGAGGGUAUAUUUACUAUAUACUAAAGCUCCUACACUGUUCCUAAGCACUGUUCAUCACUGUUCCUAAGCACUGUUCAUCACUGUUCACAUCUGCCAUCGUUCUGCCAGACGCUACCGUCGGUUUCUUCUUUCUUCUACAGCAGUAUAACCGUAUAACCACGAUUGCUCUCUCAAUUUGGAUCUCCGCCGUGAAUCCGACUCUCAGCUCUCCCAUAUCAAUAUCGUCGACGAACAGAAAGUGAUAGAGAUAGAUUGAGAGAGAGAGAGAGACGGAGGUUUUCUGUGUCUUUUGGGUCUUCUCACUCUUCUGCGAGAGAGAGAGAGAGAGGAAGUGAAGGCUAAUUCCAGGGAGAGGAAGAACAGGAAACAGGAAGAGGAAGAAGAAUUUGAUACACCAAGUUCAUGCUGGGAAUAUGUGAGAAUUGAAUUUCAGAAUUUGCUUUUUUUUUUUUCUCUGUUUGAUGAAAGCUCUGUGGGUUUUGAAGAAGAAAGAAGAACAAGAAUAUAGGAGCUUGAAAUUCUUCACUGAUUGGUAAGGUGCAUCAAUAUGUGAUGGAAGAGAAAUCCUUUUAAAGGAAGCUUGCUGAUCAGUAUACUGUCAUUGCAGAUUUGUAGGAGACUAUUUUGAGCUACAAAUUAAGUGCAAUCACAACAGUGAAGUGGUCUGCUCAUUAUUUUCUUUUAGUAGUAAUGAAAGUAUGAUAUGUAAGUAUAAAUAUUGACGUGAUACAAUGAAAUUCAAGAGACUCAACUAUAACAUACAAAUUUGAGACAAAAGAAAACCCGCAGCAUCGCGCGGGAGAAUAA
Molecule: long non-coding RNA, 883 nt
Organism: Rosa rugosa (rugosa rose)
Lineage: Eukaryota; Viridiplantae; Streptophyta; Magnoliopsida; Rosales; Rosaceae
Exons: 5
Source: RefSeq, a predicted model, not a curated record